Molecule: ribosomal RNA, 468 nt
Filed under: uncultured bacterium
Lineage: Bacteria
Description: partial 16S ribosomal RNA
Rfam family: Bacterial small subunit ribosomal RNA
Source: RNAcentral
GACGAACGCUGGCGGCGUGCUUAACACAUGCAAGUCGAACGGAAAGGCCCUCCUUUUGUGGGGUGCUCGAGUGGCGACAGGGUGAGUAACACGUGCGUAACCUGCCCUUGACUUCGGGACACGUGCAGGAAACUGGGGCUAAUCGCGGAUAGGAGCCAGUGCUGCAUGGUGGGGGUUGGAAAGUUUCGGCGGUUGGGGAUGGACGCGCGGGUUAUCAGCUUGUUGGUGGGGUAGUGGCUUACCAAGGCUUUGACGGGUAGCCGGCCUGAGAGGGUGACCGGACACAUUGGGACUGAGAUACCGCCCAGACUCCGCCGGGAGGCAGCAGCGGGGAAUAUUGCACAAUGGGCGGAAGCCUGAUGCAGUAACGCCGCGUGCGGGAUGACGGCCUUCGGGUUGUAAACCGCUUGCGCCUGUGACGAAGCGUGAGUGACGGUAAUGGGUGAAGAAGCACCGGCUAACUACGUG